ACCAUCUCUCAUAUUGUAUAUAGUAUGGAUCCGAAGCCUCUUGAAGAUUAACAUAGACUCUCCACCUCACUUCAAUUCAAUACGUUCCCGGCGUAUAGAAUGGUAACAUGUCUCUCCAAAUAUCUGAGCUUGGGUAAACGUGAAAACCCAAUCCCUUGGGAAGAUGGGUGAUAUGGCUAAAUUGAGUGGA
Molecule: ribozyme, 190 nt
Filed under: Anopheles stephensi (Asian malaria mosquito)
Lineage: Eukaryota; Metazoa; Arthropoda; Insecta; Diptera; Culicidae
Description: drz-agam-2-2 ribozyme
Rfam family: drz-agam-2-2 ribozyme
Source: Rfam by way of RNAcentral